RNAcentral lists this ribosomal RNA (530 nucleotides) under Nocardia aobensis. RNAcentral's name for it is "bacterial SSU rRNA". It matches the Rfam family "Bacterial small subunit ribosomal RNA", at positions 31 to 578 of the family's 1533-position model. The record is from RNAcentral. Lineage: Bacteria; Bacillati; Actinomycetota; Actinomycetes; Mycobacteriales; Nocardiaceae.
GAACGCUGGCGGCGUGCUUAACACAUGCAAGUCGAGCGGUAAGGCCCUUCGGGGUACACGAGCGGCGAACGGGUGAGUAACACGUGGGUGAUCUGCCUCGCACUCUGGGAUAAGCCUGGGAAACUGGGUCUAAUACCGGAUAUGACCACCGGUCGCAUGGUUGGUGGUGGAAAGAUUUAUCGGUGCGAGAUGGGCCCGCGGCCUAUCAGCUUGUUGGUGGGGUAAUGGCCUACCAAGGCGACGACGGGUAGCCGGCCUGAGAGGGCGACCGGCCACACUGGGACUGAGACACGGCCCAGACUCCUACGGGAGGCAGCAGUGGGGAAUAUUGCACAAUGGGCGAAAGCCUGAUGCAGCGACGCCGCGUGAGGGAUGACGGCCUUCGGGUUGUAAACCUCUUUCGACAGGGACGAAGCGCAAGUGACGGUACCUGUAGAAGAAGCACCGGCCAACUACGUGCCAGCNGCCGCGGUAAUACGUAGGGUGCGAGCGUUGUCCGGAAUUACUGGGCGUAAAGAGCUUGUAGGCGG